This is a long non-coding RNA of Saccostrea echinata, 285 nucleotides long. RefSeq lists it as uncharacterized. The transcript is spliced from 5 exons. Lineage: Eukaryota; Metazoa; Mollusca; Bivalvia; Ostreida; Ostreidae. The record is from RefSeq and is a predicted model, not a curated record.
UGGGAACUUUAUUUAUCUCUUCCAGAGGAGCAGAAUGAAGAUUGUCCUGAUUCUUGCUGUAUUGUUCUGUAUUUGGGGAACUGCCCAAGUUGAAGGACGUGGUCUUGGUGGAGCGCGUCAUGUGACUCCAAUUCGAAUUGCUAGAUCUGCGGCAGGUCCUGUAUCAGGGAGUGGUUGUUGUUUUGUAUGCUUUCAUUGGUGCAAUUGUUGUGUGUGACUUUGAACAUCAAAAAUGCAUGCAUUUUUAUGCACUUGAUUGGAAUUAAAUAAAUAUUAAAGAAAUGA